GCACGCGAACUUAACCACUCAGCCACGGGGCCAGCCCCCUCAGAUAAAAUUUUUAAAUAACCACUUUUUUUUAACAGGAGUACUCUUCACCUCUCUAUUCAAUAAUAAAUGCAAACAAGAUCAUUCAUUACCACCACCAGUCAACUCAAACCACCAUUCUGAUACAUUUUCCACAGAAGUUCCAAGUUUCUGUUAUUGGUUGUCAGUCUUCCCGAGGCCUACUCCUUCAUUUUAUUUUCAUCCACCAUUCCUUCUACUCCUUAUCCUUUCCUAGAACACUUGUCCUAUGCGCCCAUUAAUCUUCAAACUGUGAUACUGUUUUAUCCAUAUAGAAUAGCCUCUAAAUAACACAAUCUACUAUGAUUAUGCAUUAAACUCAAUGGAUUCUUUGUCCAUCAGAAUAUUUUCUAUAGUGUAAAAUCACUCACUGUUUCAUGUAUUAAUAAAAAACUGUCAGAGUUCAACUUGGUGGUAACGCCAAGAACUAAUGGAAAGCCAAAAAAUUUAACAUCUUCACAUCAGCCCAAUUCAAGUGGAAAUCAUGUUCUUCACCUCAAAAGAUUACAGAAACUUGUAUUUAAUACCUGAUGAAUUAUUCAGUGAGAAAAGCAGUGAUAUUUGCAACUAUUAACACAAAUAAAUUAGUUUUAAAUUAAUUCAAAGAAUAAAGAGAAAAGGCAGUGUUCUAAAUAGAAAAGAUAAGUAACUAUAUAAUAAUACACAGCUGUAUCAAAGAGUUUCUGGAGAUUAUGAAAAAAAGAUACUCUUACAGCCAUAUUCUCAAUGAGAUAUUUUCAGUUCUUCAGCCAGUCAUCACGAAAAGGCAGCACCCCAGCCCUGACAUUGUAGGGCCUGGUUUGGGGGCGGGGGUGGGGCGGGUAUGGGAGGUAAAAGCUCUCUUUGGCCAAAAUAAGGACGGAAAAUCCCCAGCUGCACCCAGAUUAAUACCAUAAUACGCUAUGGAGGUUGAAGUAACUGCAUAUAAAAAGAUCACUGUGUUUUUAAGCCAAAGCUCUGAAAAGCUAAAGAAUUUGUCUCUGGAUCUCACGUAAACUUUUGAGCAGAAAAUCCCAGAGCAAACACUCUACAACUUUUAAAUCCUCAGAUUUGUUAUCUUCCCAUAUCAUUCUCUCCACAAAAAAAGUUAAUUUUUAAAGUUCACUGAUGAGACCAAAUAGCUAACAAUACAUUUAUGAAAAAAAACAACAAAGCAGUUCUCCUGCUUUAUUUCCAACUCAACUUAGUUCAAAUUACUCUCCAGCAAUUAUUUUAUGCCUUUCUGUUUAACUCCAUAGUCUAUCGCAGUGUUGUGGAUUGAAUUCUGUCCCCCAUAAAGACACAUGAAAAUCUUAACUCCUGGUACCUAUGAAUGGGAUCUUAUUUGGAAUUAGGGUCUUUGCAGAUGUAAUCAAGUUAAGAUGAGGUCAUUCUGGAUUAGGGUGGGCCCUAAAACCAAGGACCAGUGAUAUUAUAAGGUGAGAGAGAGACCUGAAGAUACAGCAGAAACCCAGCGAAGGCAGCCAAGGGAAGGAGGCAAAGAUGAGAACUAUGACAUCAUAAACCAAGGAAUGCCAAGGACUUCCGGUAACCACCAGAAGCUAAAGGAGGCAAAGAAGAAAAGUUCUUCCCUAGAGACUUUAAAGGGAGCAUGACCCUGUUGACACCUUGAUUUUGGACUUGCACUCUCCAGACCUGUGAGAAAAUAUAGUUCUAUUGUUUUAAGCCACCCAGUUUGCGGUAAUUUGCUAUGGCAUCCCUAGGACACUAAUACAGGGGAGUAGGAGUUAACAGUCCUGAACCUGCUUUACUUGUCUACCGGGAGCUGAACCAAUAAGUCAACGGACAGUAGAUGGUGGGACGUAUCUCACCUUUGGAGAAAGAAGGAAAGAUAUGCAAGCGUGUGUGCUGAAUCAAGGAUAUAUAUACCUUACAUAAGUUAUUGAGAGAAUUUCUGGUUCAAGAUCAUUGCCCGAACGCACAAAGUUAUAUUUUCUCCCUUCCAAGACUCAAUGAAAUGACACAAAAGUAACAAGGUAGAAACUCACAGCAAUGAACAAUACAGGACCAUCAGCAAAAGAAAUUACAACAAAAUUCCAGAAGCUGGAAAAUGAGGAGUGUUAAUUAUUGAAUUAGGACACGAAAUGGCAUAAAAUACCAGUCUUGGGAAUGUAGCACAGAGAGUUCAUCUGUCUGGGGAACAUUAAAGAGGCUCUAAUCUUGGAAAUAUCAGGUACAAAAGCAGGCUAACCCUAUUCUACGAUACGAAUUAUAAACAAACCCAAAACAAAGCAGGAGGUAUAAAACUGUGAGGGUGGAAGUAGAAGUAUCAUUGUUUUACGUAAGUUGGCUGGGGAACCGUCCUAGGGAGGGGGAAUUUGAGGAAAGAGACACACGAAAAAAGUAAGAAAGCAAGGAAGAAGAACAGAAAUCAUUUUUUAAGCAAUGAUGAUAAUGCAAAGAACUGCACUAAACAAUUUAAAAAUCAUAUAAUUAAAUCCUCAUAGUAUAUAACAAAGUUAUCUCCGAUUUAGAGAUGAAAAAACUCAGGCUCCAAGAAGUGAGAAAUUAUUCAAGGUUGUACAGAUAAUUAAAUGAUAACAGGUUUAAACAAAGUUUUAAGCUCUUAACUACCAUAUUAGUAAGAGUAGUAGUUUCACCUUUUGGGAACUAGUUUACUCAUUUAUAUAAUGGUCUGAUUAAUUGCCUCUAAAGUCCCACCCAAUUCUAACACUAUGACUAAUUGUUACCAAAGAAAAUAACCCUAUUUAUUAUCUAUAGCUUAAGAAAAUAUUCCAUUAGAAUGCCUGAAAGCUUGAAAAAAAAAGUCUAUAAUGGGACAUUUUAUUUAAUAUUUCUGGAAUAUCACCAGCUUCCCACUGAAAGUAAUGCCUUUAAAAGCAGUUUUUAAAAAAAUGUAACAAAUUUUUACAUUUAGACAAAAUUUAGUUUGUUUGACUUUUAUUUCCUUCCUGAACUCAACUUUUUUCUUUUGUGUAUCAACUUAUUCUUGAGGGACUCUGAAAUCAAUUUCAAUAGUAAGGCACAUAGAAUAAUAUACUAAGAUGUUAUUUCAGAUCAAUCAAGUAGAAAACUCACUAUUACAACUGUCAACAUACUCUGUCAACUUUAUUCCAAGGGGCCAAAUAUGAAUGAGAACAUUUAACCAAAUUUACAAUAAAAUGAAGAGCUCGAAGAAUAUUCAUUCACAAACUAAAUAAGGCUGUGCAAACAGGAUAUAAAAUUUAGAGAAAGUAAAAAAGAAAGCUAAAGACACAUAAGAACUAUAUAUUUAAAUUAUUUUCAUCUUUUAAUUUAACAAAAGAAUAUCUUACAAAUAGAUUUUUUUUUUUGUAAUACACAUUCCUGUUCGUCUGCCACUUCACCUUGUAUAUAUUUCCUACCUUUCCUGGAGUUAUAUGUUUUAGAGAGUCAACUGCUGUCGGAUAUAAGACCAUAAUAAAAUCAAUAUUCUAUGCAACUGAAUAUUCUAUGUUUUCUUUUUGCCUCAUAUCUCCCAGACUUGAAGGUGAAAAAGCCAGAAACCCAAAAGAACCAGUGGGCCCCAAAAACUCCCCAAAAACGCCUGUUCUUCCAGGAAAGAGGAAGCCAACAAGACAAAGUUUUUAGACAGUAACCACUCUUCUCUAGCCAAACACCACAUAAAAAACUGGGGCCCUACCUCCACCCACAUCAACAAAGCCAAGUGGGAAACCUAGACUUCCAACUUUGCCAAGCUACAACAAAGUACUCUAAUAUCCCCAUCAGGGUAGGAUCAAAGAAGGCCAAGUAGGGAGACAGGAUUUUCAUCCCUGUCCAGCAGUAUAGAGCCCUACCUCCUCCAUACAUUAUAACAGAAGAGCCUAUACAGAGUUAGGACAUUCACCAUCACUCAGCAAUAACGAGGCCACAGUGGCAUCAGUGGUGAUCACAUGGAAAACCUGGACUUCAAUCCAUGACCAGCAAUAACAAGGCACUCCCCUCCCUCCAAACUCCUCUGCUAUCAACAGAGGUCAGAGAGGGAAGCUGGACUUCUGACUCCACCUGGCAGUAAGAAGAGAGUGUCCCUUCCCCCUCACAUGCCAGAGUGGUAUCUAAAAAAGCCAGCUAACAGAAAAGGUUUAAGUACAUAAACAAAUAUUUAUAAUAAUUUUAUAUUAUGUUUACUUAUAUGUAAAUAAAUGCUAUAGCUUAUAUUUAUAAAAUCGUAAUUUAUAAGUAUAAGUAAACAACAUUUAUUACUUAAUAAAUAAAUCCAGAAUCUCACAAUACAAAAUUAUCCAAGUUUCAAAUGAAAAUCAUCUGCCAUACAAAGAACCAGUAAGUCCUCAAACUGAAUGAAAAAAAGACAACAGAUGUCACCACCAAGAUAACAGAAAUGUUAGAAUUCUCUGACAAAGACUUUUUAAAAAUCAUCAUAAAAUUACUUUGCUGAACAAUUAAAGACAUGCCUGAAACCAAUGACAAAAGAGAAAGCAUCAGCAAAAAAUAAUAAAAAGUCUCAGCAAAGAAACAGAAAAUAUAAA
This is a non-coding RNA of Equus caballus (horse), 4523 nucleotides long. Lineage: Eukaryota; Metazoa; Chordata; Mammalia; Perissodactyla; Equidae. The record is from RefSeq and is a predicted model, not a curated record.